GACGAACGCUGGCGGCGUGCUUAACACAUGCAAGUCGAACGGAAAGGCCCUGCUUUUGUGGGGUGCUCGAGUGGCGAACGGGUGAGUAACACGUGAGUAACCUGCCCUUGACUUUGGGAUAACUUCAGGAAACUGGGGCUAAUACCGGAUAGGAGCUCCUGCUGCAUGGUGGGGGUUGGAAAGUUUCGGCGGUUGGGGAUGGACUCGCGGCUUAUCAGCUUGUUGGUGGGGUAGUGGCUUACCAAGGCUUUGACGGGUAGCCGGCCUGAGAGGGUGACCGGCCACAUUGGGACUGAGAUACGGCCCAGACUCCUACGGGAGGCAGCAGUGGGGAAUAUUGCACAAUGGGCGGAAGCCUGAUGCAGCAACGCCGCGUGCGGGAUGACGGCCUUCGGGUUGUAAACCGCUUUCGCCUGUGACGAAGCGUGAGUGACGGUAAUGGGUAAAGAAGCACCGGCUAACUACGUGCCAGCAGCCGCGGUGAUACGUAGGGUGCGAGCGUUGUCCGGAUUUAUUGGGCGUAAAGGGCUCGUAGGUGGUUGAUCGCGUCGGAAGUGUAAUCUUGGGGCUUAACCCUGAGCGUGCUUUCGAUACGGGUUGACUUGAGGAAGGUAGGGGAGAAUGGAAUUCCUGGUGGAGCGGUGGAAUGCGCAGAUAUCAGGAGGAACACCAGUGGCGAAGGCGGUUCUCUGGGCCUUUCCUGACGCUGAGGAGCGAAAGCGUGGGGAGCGAACAGGCUUAGAUACCCUGGUAGUCCACGCUGUAAACGGUGGGUACUAGGUGUGGGGUCCAUUCCACGGGUUCCGUGCCGUAGCUAACGCUUUAAGUACCCCGCCUGGGGAGUACGGCCGCAAGGCUAAAACUCAAAGGAAUUGACGGGGCCCCGCACAAGCGGCGGAGCAUGCGGAUUAAUUCGAUGCAACGCGUAGAACCUUACCUGGGUUUGACAUGGAUCGGGAGUGCUCAGAGAUGGGUGUGCCUCUUUUGGGGUCGGUUCACAGGUGGUGCAUGGCUGUCGUCAGCUCGUGUCGUGAGAUGUUGGGUUAAGUCCCGCAACGAGCGCAACCCUUGUUCACUGUUGCCAGCACGUUAUGGUGGGGACUCAGUGGAGACCGCCGGGGUCAACUCGGAGGAAGGUGGGGAUGACGUCAAGUCGUCAUGCCCCUUAUGUCCAGGGCUUCACGCAUGCUACAAUGGCUGGUACAGAGAGUGGCGAGCCUGUGAGGGUGAGCGAAUCUCGGAAAGCCGGUCUCAGUUCGGAUUGGGGUCUGCAACUCGACCUCAUGAAGUCGGAGUCGCUAGUAAUCGCAGAUCAGCAACACUGCGGUGAAUACGUUCCCGGG
This 1343-nucleotide ribosomal RNA is filed under the name uncultured bacterium. Its description in RNAcentral is "16S ribosomal RNA". It matches the Rfam family "Bacterial small subunit ribosomal RNA", at positions 28 to 1378 of the family's 1533-position model. The record is from RNAcentral.